AAAUGCGAUACGCAUUGUGAAUUGCAGAUUUCAGUGAACCAUUAGAUUUCCGAACGCAUAUGGCGCUGUAGGGACUUCCCUGCAGCACGUCUGUUUCAGUGUCUUU
This 106-nucleotide ribosomal RNA is filed under the name Eimeria auburnensis. Its description in RNAcentral is "partial 5.8S rRNA". It matches the Rfam family "5.8S ribosomal RNA", at positions 51 to 154 of the family's 154-position model. Rfam says of the family: 5.8S ribosomal RNA (5.8S rRNA) is a component of the large subunit of the eukaryotic ribosome. It is transcribed by RNA polymerase I as part of the 45S precursor that also contains 18S and 28S rRNA. Functionally, it is thought that 5.8S rRNA may be involved in ribosome translocation. The record is from RNAcentral. Lineage: Eukaryota; Apicomplexa; Conoidasida; Eucoccidiorida; Eimeriidae.